RNAcentral lists this ribosomal RNA (773 nucleotides) under uncultured Neocallimastigales. RNAcentral's name for it is "partial large subunit ribosomal RNA". It matches the Rfam family "Eukaryotic large subunit ribosomal RNA", at positions 23 to 634 of the family's 3401-position model. The record is from RNAcentral. Lineage: Eukaryota; Fungi; Neocallimastigomycota; Neocallimastigomycetes; Neocallimastigales.
AGAGAGAGACAUGCGCGCAUAUCAAUAAGCGGAGGAAAAGAAACUAACAAGGAUUCCCUUAGUAACGGCGAGUGAAGCGGGAAGAGCUCAAAUUUGAAAUCUUCAAGGUUUUACCUUGACGAAUUGUAGUUUAAAGAAGUGUUUUCUGCUGAAGUUUUGGUAAAAGUUCUUUGGAAUAGGACAUCAUAGAGGGUGAGAAUCCCAUAUUUGACCAGUUAUUUUCAGCUUUGUGAUACACUUUCAAAGAGUCGGAUUGUUUGGGAAUGCAGUCCAAAAUGGGUGGUAAAUUUCAUCUAAAGCUAAAUAUUGGCGAGAGACCGAUAGCGAACAAGUACCGUGAGGGAAAGAUGAAAAGAACUUUGAAAAGAGAGUUAAACAGUACGUGAAAUUGUCAAAAGGGAAGCGUUUGACACCAGUGUUGUUUUCUCGAAAAUCAAUUAAAAAUGGCUCGAUUUUGUAUUGUUGAGACCUUAAAAGCUCACUGUACAUUUUUCGUGUCUUUUUUAAUGCACUUUCGUUUAACAAGUCAACAUCAGUUUCUUUUGUUGUAAAAGGGUCAUUGGAAGGUGGCUUUCUUUUCGGAGAAAGUGUUUAUAGCCUUUGGCCUCUGCAGUCGGAGAGACUGAGGUCUGCAGCGUAGACUCUUCGGGGUUAGAUACAUUUGUGCUAAGUUAUAGCUUUUAUAGACAACUUGUUGACUAUAAUUAGUCUUGUAGCUUACUCGCUUAUGCUAUUUUACCUACGCUUAGGAUGUUGAAGAUGUAGCACAUCAU